GGCUGAAACUCGCCUACAUGAAGCUGGAGUUACUAGUAAUCGCAGAUCAGAAUGCUGCGGUGAAUGCGUUCCCGGGUCUUGUACACACCGCCCGUCACACCACGGAAGUUGGGGGCGCCCGAAGCCACUUAGCUAACCCUUUUGGGAAGCGAGUGUCGAAGGUGAAAUCAAUAACUGGGGUGAAGUCGUAACAAGGUACC
This 200-nucleotide ribosomal RNA is filed under the name uncultured bacterium. Its description in RNAcentral is "partial 16S ribosomal RNA". It matches the Rfam family "Bacterial small subunit ribosomal RNA", at positions 1303 to 1500 of the family's 1533-position model. The record is from RNAcentral.